UGGUGCAGAGCUCUGUGGCCUUGGACCAGGACACCCAGUACCUUGAGCUGCUUAUGAAAACCAGGAACUGUUGUUGGAAGAUGCCCCGGGAGAGGCUGUGUGCUGCCCUUCAGGGGGCAGAUCCAGCCCACAGUUGUGCCUGCGGCACUGAAUGGUGCUUCAAAUGCCAUAAAAUACAUCUUUCAUCUGUGUUUAUUCCAAAAUAUUACUGAUUUAAAGACAAAGCUGUGCAAAUCAAGCUCUAAGAAGAUUACUACGUAUCUACCAUGCCAGGACCUUCAUUCCUCUGUCUCGUACAACGUGUCAGGUAGCGCAUGGGAGACCUGUAGACCCAGUUUCUCAAACAGGAGCAGCUCCUGCCCGAGUCACCUGCAUUUCUUCUGAAGCAGCUUGCUCGGAAAGCGAAGGCGGCGUUUUCAAGGAGGACACUAGAUGGCACUUUUGACUUCUUUAACCCAAUUUUGUGCUUUCUAGCCGGGGGAGAGAGUAUCUUUAAUGACGACCUUGUCAAAACCUCGGGAUCAUGUUGGCUACAACUUUCUUACUACUGUUUUGCGACUUGUAAGUAACCAGUUUCACAAGUUGUAUUUAGCUGUAAAAACUGUGAUUGCUUUUGGUUAUAAACAUAUCUAAAAAUAU
Nothoprocta perdicaria is the source of this 639-nucleotide long non-coding RNA. RefSeq lists it as uncharacterized. The record is from RefSeq and is a predicted model, not a curated record. NCBI's taxonomy places the organism in Eukaryota, Metazoa, Chordata, Aves, Tinamiformes, Tinamidae. The transcript is spliced from 2 exons.